AAUGUUGGGAAUUGUCCCAAAUUCCUAAUUAGUAAAUAUUCCUUUUUGUAAAGAAUAUUGUAUAGAAUAUUUCUAGGUUGAUAUAUUAUUGUAAUAUUAGACUUCCUUAUAGAAUAAGGAAGGUUGUUGGAAAUAUCUCUAUAAAUAUUCUAGGUCAUGAGGGGAAAAAGUUAUGAGAUGGAGAUGGGCCUAUAGAGACUAUACGAGGUGGAUAGAGAUGUGAGGAAGAACGGGAGAUACCUGGUGGAGCGAGAGGGCUCGUAGUAAGGUAUGGAUACAAGGAGUGGGGAAACAUGAGAUGUUUCGGGAACCCAAUAGUUGUAUCUGGUUUUAUCCUCUGUAAUAUUCUCUAUUGUAUAGUGGAAUUAUUCUCUCUCAUCCGUGGACGUAGGCAUGGUUGGCCGAACCACGUUAAAACCUCGUGUAUCGUAUGUGUGAUUGUUUUAUCUUUGUGUUCUUGAACUAACAUUGUUGGCAUCAAAGCUUCCGUUGGCACAACAAUUGGUAUCAGAGCUUGGGUUGAAGAUUUCUGGAAGAGUAAAAGAUCACAAAGCACACAAGAUGAAAACAAAAGGAAUUUUCACUGAAGGUGGAGUUGAUUGCUAUUUCGUGGUGAUAUGAUACAAAAAGGUUUGUGUCAUGGAGAGAUUGAAGAUUAACUUCAUGUAAUUUGGUCCAAGGUGGAGAUUGUUAGGAAGUGUUCCAAAUUCCUAAUUAGUAUAGAUUCCUUUCUUUGUAAAGAAUAUUAUAUAGAAUAUUUCUAGGUUGAUAUAUUAUUGUAAUAUUAGACUUCCUUAUAGAAUAAGGAAGGUUGUUGGAAAUAUCUCUAUAAAUAUUCUAGGUCAUGAGGGGAAAAAGUUAUGAGAUGGAGAUGGGCCUAUAGAGACUAUACGAGGUGGAUAGAGAUGUGAGGAAGAAUGGGAGGUACCUGGUGGAGCGAAAGGGCUCGUAGUAAGGUAUGGAUACAAGGAGUGGGGAAACAUGGGAUGUUUCGGGAACCCAAUAAUUGUAUCUGGUUCUAUCCUCUGUAAUAUUCUCUAUGGUAUAGUGGAAUUAUUCUCUCUCAUCCGUGGACGUAGGCAUGGUUGGUCGAACCACGUUAAAACCUCGUGUACCGUAUAUGUGAUUGUUUUAUCUUUGUGUUCUUGAACUAACAUCGUUGGCAUCAAAGCUUCCGCUGGCACAACAACUGGUAUUAGAGCCUAGGGUUAGGUUGAGUGGGAGCAAUGGCAGAGGAAGCAAGAAAGGCGUCUGGAAUAGAAAAGUUUGAUGGCACAGACUUUGCGUAUUGGAGGAUGCAGAUUGAAGAUUAUCUCUAUGGGAG
Molecule: long non-coding RNA, 1324 nt
Filed under: Vitis vinifera (wine grape)
Lineage: Eukaryota; Viridiplantae; Streptophyta; Magnoliopsida; Vitales; Vitaceae
Description: long non-coding RNA (VVIN_LNC003697)
Source: RNAcentral